AUGAACAUUCCCACAAAGUUUCAGAAUUUUUUGAAGUGUUUUUCUAUGUUUUCUUGCGUGGGUGCACCGAGGGUGGGUCCAACCACUACUUUCCCUUUUGUGAUUCCAAAGAUUGCCAGACCAAAACAUUUGAAGAAUUUUCGACCUAUCAGUUUGUGCAACAUCUUGCACAAGACUGCUUCCAAAGUUUUAGCCAACCGCUUAAAGGUGAUUCUUGGUGUUGUGGUAUCUGAAUUCCAGAGUGCUUUUGUGCCAAGUAGACUGAUUACUGACAAUAUUUUGAUUGCUUAUGAGUGUAUGCACACUAUUAGAAAACAACAUUCGAAGCAACCUUUCUUUGCCUUGAAGAUUGACAUGAUGAAAGCCUAUGAUCUUGUGUAA
Molecule: ribosomal RNA, 381 nt
Filed under: Triticum aestivum (bread wheat)
Lineage: Eukaryota; Viridiplantae; Streptophyta; Magnoliopsida; Poales; Poaceae
Description: partial small subunit ribosomal RNA
Source: RNAcentral